AGAGUUUGAUCCUGGCUCAGGACGAACGCUGGCGGCGGGCUUAACACAUGCAAGUCGAAGGAGAAGGAAGGUGCUUGCACUUUCUGGAGACUGGCGGACGGGUGAGUAACGCGUAGAUAACCUGCCUAUAUCUGGGGGAUAACAUCUCGAAAGGGGUGCUAAUACCGCAUAAUGCAGCGGGGCCGCAUGGCCACAGUUGUUAAAGGCGUGAGCCGGAUAUAGAGGGGUCUGCGUACUAUUAGUUAGUUGGUGAGGUAACGGCUUACCAAGGCGAUGAUAGUUAGGGGGUCUGAGAGGAUGAUCCCCCACACUGGGACUGAGACACGGCCCAGACUCCUACGGGAGGCAGCAGUGAGGAAUCUUGCGCAAUGGAGGAAACUCUGACGCAGCCACGCCGCGUGCCGGAAGACGGCCCUAUGGGUUGUAAACGGCUUUUGAAUGGGAAGAACGUACGAGAUUUGUCUUGUAGUGACGGUACCAUUUGAAUAAGCACCGGCUAACUCCGUGCCAGCAGCCGCGGUAAUACGGAGGGUGCAAGCGUUGUCCGGAAUCAUUGGGUGUAAAGGGUGCGUAGGCGGGAGCCUAAGUCUGUGGUGAAAUCUUGCCGCUCAACGGUAAAAUGGCCAUGGAUACUGGGUUUCUUGAGUACAGAAGAGGUCGGUGGAAUUCGUAGUGUAGCGGUGAAAUGCAUA
This 692-nucleotide ribosomal RNA is filed under the name uncultured bacterium. Its description in RNAcentral is "bacterial SSU rRNA". It matches the Rfam family "Bacterial small subunit ribosomal RNA", at positions 8 to 692 of the family's 1533-position model. The record is from RNAcentral.